GCCUAGCUGACGAGUCCUAAAUAGGACGAAACGCGCGUCCUGGGU
RNAcentral lists this non-coding RNA (45 nucleotides) under Schistosoma mattheei. Lineage: Eukaryota; Metazoa; Platyhelminthes; Trematoda; Strigeidida; Schistosomatidae. The record is from RNAcentral.